UAAAUGCAAGUCGAACGGCAGCACGGAGCUUGCUCUGGUGGCGAGUGGCGAACGGGUGAGUAAUAUAUCGGAACGUACCCUAGAGUGGGGGAUAACGUAGCGAAAGUUACGCUAAUACCGCAUACGAUCUAAGGAUGAAAGUGGGGGAUCGCAAGACCUCAUGCUCGUGGAGCGGCCGAUAUCUGAUUAGCUAGUUGGUAGGGUAAAAGCCUACCAAGGCAUCGAUCAGUAGCUGGUCUGAGAGGACGACCAGCCACACUGGAACUGAGACACGGUCCAGACUCCUACGGGAGGCAGCAGUGGGGAAUUUUGGACAAUGGGCGAAAGCCUGAUCCAGCAAUGCCGCGUGAGUGAAGAAGGCCUUCGGGUUGUAAAGCUCUUUUGUCAGGGAAGAAACGGUGAGAGCUAAUAUCUUUUGCUAAUGACGGUACCUGAAGAAUAAGCACCGGCUAACUACGUGCCAGCAGCCGCGGUAAUACGUAGGGUGCAAGCGUUAAUCGGAAUUACUGGGCGUAAAGCGUGCGCAGGCGGUUUUGUAAGUCUGAUGUGAAAUCCCCGGGCUCAACCUGGGAAUUGCAUUGGAGACUGCAAGGCUAGAAUCUGGCAGAGGGGGGUAGAAUUCCACGUGUAGCAGUGAAAUGCGUAGAUAUGUGGAGGAACACCGAUGGCGAAGGCAGCCCCCUGGGUCAAGAUUGACGCUCAUGCACGAAAGCGUGGGGAGCAAACAGGAUUAGAUACCCUGGUAGUCCACGCCCUAAACGAUGUCUACUAGUUGUCGGGUCUUAAUUGACUUGGUAACGCAGCUAACGCGUGAAGUAGACCGCCUGGGGAGUACGGUCGCAAGAUUAAAACUCAAAGGAAUUGACGGGGACCCGCACAAGCGGUGGAUGAUGUGGAUUAAUUCGAUGCAACGCGAAAAACCUUACCUACCCUUGACAUGGCUGGAAUCCUUGAAAGAUCAGGGAGUGCUCGAAAAAAACCAGUACACAGGUGCUGCAUGGCUGUCGUCAGCUCGGGCC
This 1019-nucleotide ribosomal RNA is filed under the name Janthinobacterium svalbardense. RNAcentral's name for it is "bacterial SSU rRNA". It matches the Rfam family "Bacterial small subunit ribosomal RNA", at positions 52 to 1066 of the family's 1533-position model. Lineage: Bacteria; Pseudomonadati; Pseudomonadota; Betaproteobacteria; Burkholderiales; Oxalobacteraceae. The record is from RNAcentral.